This 260-nucleotide ribosomal RNA is filed under the name uncultured Glomus. RNAcentral describes it as "partial 18S ribosomal RNA". It matches the Rfam family "Eukaryotic small subunit ribosomal RNA", at positions 624 to 886 of the family's 1831-position model. The record is from RNAcentral. Lineage: Eukaryota; Fungi; Glomeromycota; Glomeromycetes; Glomerales; Glomeraceae.
AAGCUCGUAGUUGAAUUUCGGGGUUAGUAGGUUGGUCAUGCCUCUGGUAUGUACUGGUCUCACUGAUUCCUCCUUCCUUAUGAACCGUAAUGCCAUUAAUUUGGUGUUGCGGGGAAUUUGGACUGUUACUUUGAAAAAAAUUAGAGUGUUUAAAGCAAGCUAACGCUUGAAUACAUUAGCAUGGAAUAAUGAAAUAGGACGUUCGAUCUUAUUUUGUUUGGUUUCUAGGAUUGACGUAAUGAUUAAUAGGGAUAGUUGGG